CGUAGGUGGCAAGCGUUGUCCGGAAUUAUUGGGCGUAAAGCGCGCGCAGGCGGUCCUUUAAGUCUGAUGUGAAAGCCCACGGCUCAACCGUGGAGGGUCAUUGGAAACUGGGGGACUUGAGUACAGAAGAGAAGAGUGGAAUUCCACGUGUAGCGGUGAAAUGCGUAGAGAUGUGGAGGGACACCAGUGGCGAAGGCGACUCUUUGGUCUGUAACUGACGCUGAGGCGCGAAAGCGUGGGGAGCAAACAGGAUUAGAUACCCUGGUAGUCCACGCUGUAAACGAUGAGUGCUAAGUGUUAGAGGGUUUCCGCCCUUUAGUGCUGCAGCUAACGCAUUAAGCACUCCGCCUGGGGAGUACGGCCGCAAGGCUG
Molecule: ribosomal RNA, 372 nt
Filed under: uncultured organism
Description: bacterial SSU rRNA
Rfam family: Bacterial small subunit ribosomal RNA
Source: RNAcentral